UUCGGGACACUAGUUGAGUGGAUCCACAGAGCUGGUGUUAGUACUCAUGGCAAGGUCCUGACACCCUUCCAACUAGGGUUACAGGUUGGACCCUGAUUAUCUUAGAUUAGGGCAUAUUGGUUAGAUGAUCCCUCCUACAAUCUCAAUUUAGUAGUCAUUACAAAAUUCAGUUUAGGUUUGCUUGACCAUAGCUUACGGUUUAUCAGUUAUUUAGUUACCA
RNAcentral lists this long non-coding RNA (220 nucleotides) under Capsicum annuum. RNAcentral's name for it is "long non-coding RNA (CANN_LNC022161)". The record is from RNAcentral. Lineage: Eukaryota; Viridiplantae; Streptophyta; Magnoliopsida; Solanales; Solanaceae.